Non-coding RNA from Branchiostoma floridae (Florida lancelet), 62 nucleotides. The record is from Rfam. NCBI's taxonomy places the organism in Eukaryota, Metazoa, Chordata, Leptocardii, Amphioxiformes, Branchiostomatidae.
UGCUGUCUAUGACGACCUGUUCCUAAACCCCCAGGGCUGAACAGGUCUGAUGUUCUUCAGCA